Molecule: long non-coding RNA, 984 nt
Filed under: Elaeis guineensis (African oil palm)
Lineage: Eukaryota; Viridiplantae; Streptophyta; Magnoliopsida; Arecales; Arecaceae
Description: long non-coding RNA (EGUI_LNC010703)
Source: RNAcentral
AGGAUCUAGAGUUUGUGAAUCCACUAGAUCUAGAUUAGGGAAUUCUUCCUAGAAUUUUUUUUAUUGAUCCUAACGACUACUCCUCUUGUCUUUCCCAAGCAUAGAUUAUGAAGGGACUAAGACCCAACGAUAACCCAUCAAGAUUCUUUACAGGGGAGUAGUAACUAGGAUCCCUUAGGAUUUUCUCCUCCUAUGCACUGAAUCAAGCAUGAACUAUGAAGAGACUCUGACCCAACUGUAGUUCAUCAAAAAUUCUUGGCAAAAGAGGAAGAAAAAGAAAUCCUAAGAAAAAGAAAGAACCCUAUGUAAAACCUCUACUCAUGAUCUAGCUUCAUCGCAAACCCUAGAAGGGAUGCUUAGCUAGACAUGAUCUAAAUCUACUUGCAAAAUUUAAAUGCAGAAAAAUAAACUACCCUAAUUUCAUAACUUAAACUAUCCUAAUUGCAUAAAUUUAAACUGCAUAAUUUAAACUAACCUAAUUGCAUAAAAUUAAAUUACAUAAAUUAAACUAUCCUAAUUGCAAGAAAAAUAAAUUGCAUAAGGUAAAGAGAUAAAAUUUCAUAAAAAUAAGAUUUUAUAUAAAAAAAAUUUAUUACAAAAACUUCAAAGCUCGAGGCUUGAGAAGAAAGCUAAAAAACCCACUAUCUAGGGUUACAAGCUUGAUUGGAAGGAAAGAAUCAUUAAAACAAGGGCCUUUGGGGGCUUUUUAUAGGCAUUUGGGGGUUAUAAGGUUUUCAAAACUUUAGAUGUGGGACUAAGAGGUUUUAGAGGGCUGUUAGGGGGGUUUAGGGGGAUUUAGGGGCUCAAAUCUCGCUCAAAAAGUACUUAAAUCCAUCAAGAAAUCUUAGAAAUUGUUUCAGCCGUCCGAUCUUCAUCUAAAGGACCCAAUUCAUCUAAUAAAUCAAGCCAGGAGCGAUUCUGGGCCGUCGGAUCACGAUCUGGGUGAAGCGCUGCCGUUGGAUCGCGCUGCAGAGAUGGGAUCAG